GGGAACAGCAACAGCUCAUUAGUAGAGCAUCUGUUUUGCAUGCAGACGGUUCCAAGUUCAAUCCCUGGUGUCCCCA
Molecule: non-coding RNA, 76 nt
Organism: Podarcis lilfordi (Lilford's wall lizard)
Lineage: Eukaryota; Metazoa; Chordata; Lepidosauria; Squamata; Lacertidae
Source: the annotation of a GenBank genome assembly